RNAcentral lists this ribosomal RNA (497 nucleotides) under uncultured bacterium. Its description in RNAcentral is "partial 16S ribosomal RNA". It matches the Rfam family "Bacterial small subunit ribosomal RNA", at positions 28 to 507 of the family's 1533-position model. The record is from RNAcentral.
GAUGAACGCUGGCGGCGUGCCUAAUACAUGCAAGUCGAGCGAACAGAUGAGGAGCUUGCUCCUCUGACGUUAGCGGCGGACGGGUGAGUAACACGUGGAUAACCUACCUAUAAGACUGGGAUAACUCCGGGAAACCGGAGCUAAUACCGGAUAAUAUAUUGAACCGCAUGGUUCAAUAGUGAAAGACGGUUUUGCUGUCACUUAUAGAUGGAUCCGCGCCGCAUUAGCUAGUUGGUAAGGUAACGGCUUACCAAGGCGACGAUGCGUAGCCGACCUGAGAGGGUGAUCGGCCACACUGGAACUGAGACACGGUCCAGACUCCUACGGGAGGCAGCAGUAGGGAAUCUUCCGCAAUGGGCGAAAGCCUGACGGAGCAACGCCGCGUGAGUGAUGAAGGUCUUCGGAUCGUAAAACCCUGUUAUUAGGGAAGAACAAAUGUGUAAGUAACUAUGCACGUCUUGACGGUACCUAAUCAGAAAGCCACGGCUAACUACGUG